This 8689-nucleotide long non-coding RNA is filed under the name Zea mays. RNAcentral describes it as "long non-coding RNA (ZMAY_LNC001014)". Lineage: Eukaryota; Viridiplantae; Streptophyta; Magnoliopsida; Poales; Poaceae. The record is from RNAcentral.
AAAUGCGAAUAGAAGUUGUAUUGAUUCGAUUGAUUCUUACAAAUCGGCCGUAGACCUCUCUUUUUAUAGAGGAGGGGGGCUGGACCCUUUACACGACUGGAUUCCGAGCUAAUUUCGCAAAUCUACCCAACAAACAUAGCACAAAACUCAGAACCCUAAACUGCUCUGCGCAUGCGCGGACCGUCCGGCCCACAGGCGCGGACUGUCCGGACCACGGACCGUCCGGCCUCAGAGCCGGACCGUCCGCCCGCUCAAAAUGGAGCUCAACAACGCGUCAUGAAGAAACGCCGGCUGCGCGCAGGGCGAACUGAAGCAGGAGCACCGAGCAGAGGAGGAAAAAGCACGGCUGGGUAGAGAAACUUCACGGCGCUCGGCGCGGCGAGGACGCACGCGCAGGUGAGCUGGAGCUGCGUGCGACGCGAGCAGAGGAAGAAGACGACAGUGGGAGAGGGCGACCGCGGCGCGCUAGGGAGUUCGACGGCGAGCUGCAGGAAGAUCCGGCCAGGCGCCAUGGCUGGGAGCUCUGAGCAGAGGAAGCAUCACGGCAGUGGCAAACGGCUGGGGUGGCUCUGGUGUGGAUCCUGGUUUGGAGAAGAAUGACGGUCGACGAGGAGGACGCCGGUCAAAGCAGCGGCCGGACAUCCAUGGCAGCCGUCGAAGCACAGUGGAGCUGAGACAGGGCAGUGACGCACGCCAACCCUGUGCGCGCAUAGAGAGGAGGACGGAGAAGACUAGAGGUGAGCUAGGGAGCCGAGAAUCGGCCAGGGGCACGCAGGGAGAAAUGAGAGGCCGCGGCAAAGGGAAGAGAUCUAGGCGAUGGAUAUCUCUGCAGGAAUUGAGCGGCGGAAGAAAAAUCUCCACGCCCGCCCGCGGCAGUGAGCGGUGGGAGGAUGAGGAUCGGCUGGAAGUGACUCAGAAAAAAUCAGGAAGCCAUGUGGAGUUACGUGAAGAAAUGAUGAUUGAUGACUAGGAGAUAUUUGGGAGAUUUUUGAGGAAUUUUUAUUUUCUUUUUCUUUCUCACGCAAAAGCGUCAGCCAAAAUACCAUAGAUAUUUUGGAUCCCAAUUUUCUUAACGAUGUAUACAAUGUAGACAGUAAUUGUGACACGGUUUUGAUUUAGCGAAUACUUAGAAUCAGAUAAAUUUGCACCCGUCAUUUAUAUCCAAAGUUUUGGAUCGGGGCGAGAAACGAUGGCCCGAAUAAGACCGAUUAGAAUUUAUUCGAGUUUGGCUCGGUAUUUUAAUCUGCUCUUCGUGAUUUGACUGACAUUAGCCGCAACCAUAUCUGCUGAUGCACACGCGAUUUUGUCGUCAAAACAGCGUGCAGAAGGAUAAAGUGGAUCUUAACCUCGCACACGAUUUCUCUCAGACAACGCGUGUUACAGAUUAUUUUGCCCCGAUAUAUUAGUCGUCGAGUUCUUCUUAAUCGGUUCGGUAUAAAAUCAUCCGAGUGAGUCGGGCUUCCGAAUUCGUAUUCGCGCGAGCGAUAAAUUUUUAAAUAAUCACCGGACGCAUCGAUUUCUGGAAUAAUUAUGUUCCGAACAACACGAAAAUUUAGGAAGAGCCAAGACGGAUAAAAAUAAAAACGAUGUCGCACUCGCGACAAAGGAAACAGAUGCGAUAUUAAAAUCGCGAUAGGCGAUUAUAAUUAGACCUCAAUGUCCGUCUUAUUUACUGAUAUCACGUGCUUAAAUCCGUACUCAUUGUCGAGCGGAAUAUAAACACCUAGGGUGUUACAGCCCUCGCCACUUAAAAGAAUCUCGUCUCGAGAUUCGGAGCGAAAGACUUUUAAGAGUAGAGAAGCAUGUAACCCAUGUCCAUAUUAGUGAUAAUCAUAAGACAGUUCCAAGCAAAGGUGAGUGUCUCAGGAUAGGGUUUCUCUAGUGGACAUAACAUGUAUCGCCUUAGGCAAAUUUAGAAAUGUCCACCAAUAAGGAUGUUGUCUGCCAGAGGAACACAUAAGGUUCCAUGUGUGCAGUUCGCUUUUUCUGAUGACACUGUACUAUCUGAGUCUAUUGAGUGAGCGACAAUUACGCGAUUUUAUCCAAACAGAAUCAGAUGCAACCUCUUGGGUAAAACACACAAAAGGAGGUUUACCAACAAGUGGUUACGGUAAGUUCAUAGCACAGGGAACAUGUGUGGAUGUCGAAUACUGUCGUGGUUAACAUGUGGCUAACCCGAGAAUUCAAGUCCAUGAAAGAUGGUAUAGAUUCAAAGAAUCACCGGCGAAGGGACAUGUAGAUGCGGACUUUGCAACUAGUCCAUUUUACCUAGUACUAAUCAUGGCUCGACUUGAUCACCUAUGCUGGGAAAACACACGUGAUGCGAUCGAGGCAUGACUAGAGCGAUAAUUAGGUGGUUAUUAGUCGACUUAACUUGAUCUGUGUAAGUACUUUCUUAGAAUGGUUUGAACCAAAGUGAGUUUAGAUAACUCGAUAAAACGAUCUCUAAACUCACCCUUUGUUCAUUGGAUAGUUGCAAGUUAGUAAAACCAACUUGUUGAACUACUCAUGACAUUGAGUGGGUCCUCUCAGUACCAUCGGUAAGCCAAGGGUUGAGAGUUCACAUUUUGCUACCAAAAGGUCAUGCACUUGGGUAGAAAUCCAUUUGGUCAGGUUGUUCAUCUGUUUCUUCGUACGAGAUGAACGGAUUUAGUUAAGGAAUAUAUGGAUUAAAUAAGAGGGCGAAUGAACAAACUCCUGCAUCUCAGCAGCAGGGGAAACAAAUCACCAUUUUGAGAGCUAAUCAGUUGUCUCUCGACACUAAAAAGCUCCAAGGCUUCACCUUUACACAAAGGACGUAAAGGGAACUUGUAUGUGUGUAGUCACCACCAAAGUAAAGGGACAAGAGACCACACAUUAAAGGGGUAUGCCCUUUUGAUCCAACAGAGAUGAUAGAUGUUGCUUGAUCACUUGACAAACAACAUAGAAAUUGUUUCAAGGAAGUAGUUUACGGAAGAUAACACAUAAGUGUAGUUCCACAAUGGAUCAUGACCAGAGACCUUGAUACCAGCAUCCGACGAGUAGCACAGUCCUGUGUGCGCAUUCACAGGAGGCUCUCAGUUUCGCUGCGGCACCAUAAGUCAUUAACCAUGACACCAUUACCGAACUGGCACCAAUAACAAUCUCACGUAGCAAAAAAACAUAUUGUGCCAAGAUAACGUAUUGACAUAAUCUCAUAAUGGAUUACAACUACUAACUGUGAUACCAGCGCGUGCCGAGUAGCACAACCAUGUGUGCGCACCCACAGAAGGCCCUCGGUUUCGUCACGGCUCCAUCAGUUUUAAUCAUAGCACCAUUACCAGACAUAACCAAUAAGAAAUCUCGCGCGACACCAAUGGAUUAGGCAAGGGUGACAAUAUACAAAGAGACUCUACCUGUCAAAACGGUUACAAGUAGAGAGUCAAAUAGAUCAUGGCCCAAUGAAAUGAACAAGGCAUGGCCAUAACCUAAACUUGAUGGAAGGAGUAUGAUGGGAGACUGUUAAUUCAGCCCCAAACAUAUUUCUAUGCCCAUCAUAGGGAUUACAAGGUCAAGGAUUAGUAUCUGACUAGAUGCGGAGUAAAAAUAAUCAUGAGAUUAAGUUGGUAUGCCUUCGAUAGAAAUGAGGAAAUCAAAGGCAUCAAACUCAAGAAAAUGAUGAGACAUGUCUUUCCUAGGUUGGGUCGAUAAAGCAAUAUGGCGAUCCUUAAGAACAUGCAAACUAGAUAAGGGACAUCAGCUUGUGCCAAUCGAACAAGGGCAUGGUCUAAGAUGGAAUUAUGACAACUAAAACAUCACAGAUUAAAUAGCAAGAACAUGGACUCGAGAUCCUAGCUUUAAGCCCAUGCACAUCUUGCGUUGGAUAAAGGAAUUAUCCAAACAUCCAUUUACAUGAGUUUGGUCAUGGGGAAAUAACAGGAAAUUCAACUUUGGGUCAUGGUUCACCUACUAAGAACAUGACCUAGAUUUGGGUUUAGGCAAACAAGUGUCUAACCUUCUAUCGACACAUUAAGCACAAGAGCACACAUAUAGCAUCUAAACAUAAUACCUAAGGAACGAAGAACAACUAUUUUAUUGAAGUUCAUAAUUCAACAUUACACCAGAUUAUCUACAAUCACUGGUUUCUGGAAUAAGGAUGAGAGAAGCAUUUUGGAUGUAUAUGUAACAAACAUGAUGCAACAAUCAGGAUGCAUCCUCGUCCUAUACGUCCUCACGAAUUUGUGCCAAUCUAAUGUGGCAGUAGCGUUCUAUCUCGGUGGCAUACUUACGACUCUCACGGUAUUUUGCUAGUCGUCAGCUACACAUACGUUUUCGAGGUUAGUGUACCUGCAGAAAAUUCCAUCACAACCCAAUUUCCCAAUGAUGCAGUUCACACAAGGCAAUUUAUCACAGUUUAUACUCCAUAUAUUGCUAUAUGGAUGCCAGCUCAUCAUUAAGCGUCGAACCACGCAUAGGCGUCGUUGCCACACUUUAACCAUAGGGCAACUCAUUAUGGUAACUCACCUUCUUACCUGAGCGUAGAUGCGUCGUUACAAGUACAUUACAUUUCUCAGUAUGCCCAUGUCUGUAUACCCAUAGACAUCCAUGGGGUAUUGAAUUCCCAGAAAAUUUAAAUACUCCACAUCACGGCCUUCAUAUAUACAUAUGUGGAACAUGUAUAUAAUCAAGCGCUUUUUACACUCUUCCCUAAACCGACGUUUGUUCGGUCAUGCUCUCACAUCUCACCUUACCUUGAGCGUCGAUCCAUUCAAAACUGAAUGGCCUUAAAAAUAACAAUACACAUGUAUGCAAUACCCACCCGGUUGUGGGUUAGUGGUUUUCAAAUAAGCCACCUGAUAGUCCUUAGUUUAGGGCUUAACAGAGGAUGUCGCUAGCAUUGUAGUUUUCAAAUCUAUAGUUUUUCAAAACCAAACAAUGUGUUUAGAUGAAAAUAGGUUUUCUAAAACCAAAACUUUUGUUUUGAAAAUACGUAUGUGAAGUAUAUACUUAAUCCUGCUCCGAUACCAGCUGUGGCAGAACCUCCCAAGGUAUCGGACCCACAUGCACCUGUCCUUGUCCCAAAGACCUCAGACGGCCAUGCAUGUGCACCAGAUAACUUAACAGGAUCCGUCCGAUUGCCCCAAGGACAUCGGAUAAACCACUUACAACCAGAACCGCGGGAUUAAGUAAACACAAAUCACACACCAACAAUUUUGCAACGAAAAUCUUAUUACCAAAUUUUACAAGUUACAUCAAGUUUUACUUUGUAUGAUCGGAGUGAUUACAAAGUAUAAGUUUGAAAUAUAUGCUAGCUCAAGUGACCAUCCUCAAUAAGAAGGUAAAGACAGGGUAUACUUAUAUAAGAAGGCCAAGCCCACCGGCACUUAACACCAUCACAACAACACAAGGUUAGAACCUAAAAAACAACAGGGAAUAAAACCCUGAGUAUGAAAUUACUCAGCAAGACUUACCCGACUAAAGAAAAGACUCUCAAGGAUAUGCUGGAUUUGGGACUCAAGGAGAGGCUUUAGCAAGAAUCAACUUAGAUACUUUUGCAGAAUUAGCUUACUAAAGUGAGUCCUUACUUUCAAUAUUUUAAUGCCAGAUUAAAUAUUAAUAGACUUUGUUUGCAUCUGGUCUAAUUUCACCAUCUCAUCAAUACAACAUCAUUUUUAUUCAUGAGAUUCACAUCCUGACUUAGGUUGCAGGGCAGCGAUCAAGUCUCCACUCUCCGGGGAUAUAACGGCGAUCCGAAUCGAUUUACUCAGCUGAGGAUCUCUAACCACACGACAUAUGUAGCACUUAACCCUUGCACAUGUCAACCGUUCCCACGGAUCCUCCACAACAUGAACAGGUCCACGCCACCCGAGAGCACACCACCCCUUUUAGGCGAUCCUUUGCCAGGAGGGUACGUGCCACUCUCGCCAUCUCUCCACUCCCAGUGCGCGAUUGUCUUUUCAUGUAUGGAAUAGCCGGGUUCAAGAUUACCUUGUCCCAUAUCCAGGGCAUGUGGCUAGUUAAGAUAGUCCUUGAUCAUACAGGCCUACAUACGCAUCCAAUCCUUAAUUGACCCGGGCGGAACAUCACCUGUUCCUAGCCCAAGUCCCGAUUUUAGUACUUCCACCCUUAGGAUUGUUUGUAUUCCUUAGGAUGAAAAGAGCAUCAAAGGGAACUUUGCAGUAAGAUCCCAUCACGCUCUCAAUGAAAAUAUUCUUGCAGGUAGAAGCCAUCUUUCCUCAGGAUAACCCCUGAGCUAGGCCUUAAUGCAAAAGACAACCUCUAUCCACAAGAUCUGAGCAGGGCUAAGCAUUUUUGUAAAUCAUGUUUUGAUACUCUACCAGAAGUAUCUAUAAAGGUAUGGAUAUCAAGGAAGGAAAUGCAUCAAAGGGUUUCCAAACAACUCCUAUAAACCUAAUGCACAUUCACUAGACUUAAAGUGUGUAAAAAUAAUUUAAAAACACAAGGAAGGGGUUGCAUGCACCGAGGCUUGCCUGGAUAACACUAGGUUAGUGUUUGUUAGACGUCGUCCACUUGGCGAUCAUCUUUUGUUCUGAUACUUGUUUCGUUUGUCCAUCUUCAGUUCCGUUCAUCAGCACCAUCUUGUGGUCGACUCAGUUCUGGUUCUCCACAUCACGUGGUUAAUUCACGUACCUGAAUGAAAUGCAUUAUGCAUAUGAAUGCAUAUAGACAGGAAUAUCGCAAACCUAAAUAGUGCUUGUGAUAGCGAAUUAAACACCUAGCGGCGAGGCGUUGAAUAAUUUCAUACGAAAAUACUAGUUAUCGAUAUACGACUACGCGCAAUAAUUACGCUCCUCUAGAUUAAACGAACCUAACGUAAACAUCACGAGCAACAAACUAUACACCUUUAAUAUACUUAGCCUAAACAUAACUUAUCAGCUAAUUAAUUAAAUUCUAAACUUAUCCUUCAUUUUAUAAAUUGUACUAUAUCGCUCACAAAAAACUAUUUUAAUUUUAUUUUACUUCCCACAUAUUUUACAUGUCAACAAUUACUCAAACAUUUCUUUAUCAUAAAUACAUACACAUCUUUAUAAGUGAGUAAACUAUUUUAUCAUCACACAGGCCAACUAAUAUUCUACUCGGUACACUAAUUCAGCUAAUUAAUCAGAAUAGCGAAAUAACUCGCCACAACUGAAUCUGGCUCGAUAAUCGCAAGAACCGUGAAGUCGACGAGAGUUUCGUGACUUACGCAAUUUAUCGAGCACCUUAAUAAGCAUCGCACUAGCACAUUAAUUUAUUCAUCGAUCGAACUAUUCUGAAUAAUUUAUUAGCUUACUGUUUCCACAGCUGACACGAAUCCGCGAGAUCGGUAGCGAUUUUCCGAUCCAGGCAGUUUGUCGAGCGCUUGGAUAAUAUCGCGCUGCUAGCUUCGUCUUCACCCGAUUCUUGGGAUUUCUUGCUGAUGCACGGAACGACUAUGACCUUCGAUUGAAGUCAGGAGCGAGCUGGUGAGGUGGGGUUGAGUAGGAGAUGACGGGUUUGACGACUCGACUGCAAAUGUGAGCACGUGUGAAGCCCGAUGGAUGAAGAGCGAGCGUGACACAGCAAGAACGAGCAGGCGCGCGAGUGUUAACGCGAGCCAGCGGCAAGCACGAGUGCUGAGGUACAACCGACAACACUCGGCGAGCACGCAGCGAGACACACAACAGCGACGACAGCCGAAUCGGCAACAGAGUGUUGGCGAACUCGACGAACACGACCACGGUCGCGUGCUGGCGCGGAUAGGAUAACAACAACUUGACGAGUUGAAGCAUCAGCGGGUAGCCGACGAGGGUGAGCAAAGCAUGCAGGACACCGGGCGUCGCGGCGAGCUAGAAAAGGAUUCGGCGCGGGAGCACGACACGCACAGAUUUUUGUUUCGUUGCUCCACGCAUGACGCGUGGACAGAUGGCAAGCAGGGAUGCGCGGCGAAAUCUCGAGCACGACACAGGGAACCGCCCACGGCGAGCAUAGGGACACGGCUGCGCGCGGCGUGUGCGCAGAGAGCUCGACCGGGCGCGGCGAGCUGGGGACUGAGCGCGGUCCGAGCUAGGAAGAAUCGGAAUACCACGACGUGCAGGGAGAUGGCAAAGCGGAGCACGCGUCAUGAAGAAACGCCGGCUGCGCGCAGGGCGAACUGAAGUAGGAGCACCGAGCAGAGGAGGAAAAAGCACGGCUGGGUGGAGAAACUUCACGGCGCUCGGCGCGGCGAGGACGCACGCGCAGGUGAGCUGGAGCUGCGUGCGACGCGAGCAGAGGAAGAAGACGACAGAGGGAGAGGGCGACCGCGGCGCGCAAGGGAGUUCGACGGCGAGCUGCAGGAAGAUCCGGCCAGGCGCCAUGGCUGGGAGCUCUGAGCAGAGGAAGCAUCACGGCAGUGGCAAACGGCUGGGGUGGCUCUGGUGUGGAUCCUGGUUUGGAGAAGAACGACGGUCGACGAGGAGGACGCCGGUCAAAGCAGCGGCCGGACAUCCAUGGCAGCCGUCGAAGCACAGUGGAGCUGAGACAGGGCAGUGACGCACGCCAACCCUGUGCGCGCAUAGAGGGGAGGACGGAGAAGACUAGAGGUGAGACAGGGAGCCGAGCAUCGGCCAGGGGCACGCAGGGAGAAAUGAGAGGCCGUGGCAAAGGGAAGAGAUCUAGGCGAUGGAUAUCUCUGCAGGAAUUGAGCGGCGGAAGAAAAAUCUCCACGCCCGCCCGCGGCAGUGAGCGGUGGGAGGAUGAGGAUCGGCUG